GGAGAUGUGUGUCUGUGAUGGCACAGCUGAACAUCGAUCGCUGGUUAAUCUAGGCAGAUCUGCUCAGUGGGUGGCGUCACUAGCCUGUUUCCCGUAGCUAUGAACGAUGCCGAUGCCUCGUCGCUCGGUGUCGGUCCUGGCUCCUUUCUCAUAACGUUACGGUUUUCCAAAAUUAGGGGGGGUCCGGCUAAUUUAGAACAUCUCCAUAUAAGAGGCACUACGCGUGGUAGUCUGCCAUUUUUUCA
This 245-nucleotide small nuclear RNA is filed under the name Agrilus planipennis (emerald ash borer). RNAcentral describes it as "Arthropod 7SK RNA". It matches the Rfam family "Arthropod 7SK RNA". Lineage: Eukaryota; Metazoa; Arthropoda; Insecta; Coleoptera; Buprestidae. The record is from Rfam by way of RNAcentral.